UACGGAGGGUGCGAGCGUUGUCCGGAAUCACUGGGCGUAAAGGGCGCGUAGGCGGCGCGGGAAGUCAUCGGUGAAAGCUCAGGCUCAACUCUGAGUCGGCCGGUGAUACUCUCGUGCUUGAGCACUGUAGAGGCAGGUGGAAUUCCGGGUGUAGCGGUGGAAUGCGUAGAGAUCCGGAAGAACGACCGGUGGCGCAGGCGGCCUGAGCUGGGCCAUGGUAGCUGGACGCUGAUGCGCGACAGCGUGGGAGCAACAGGAGUAGAUGACCCAGACAGUCCGACACCAAG
Molecule: ribosomal RNA, 287 nt
Filed under: uncultured bacterium
Lineage: Bacteria
Description: partial 16S ribosomal RNA
Rfam family: Bacterial small subunit ribosomal RNA
Source: RNAcentral